UGUCUUCAGUCUAACUUUUUAUUUUUUAAAACCUUUGAUACUCCUUUUCAAAUACUGCUCGUGUCCUAUAAAUAAUUUCUAGCAAAAGUGAUAUUUGCUCUCUUAAUUAAAAAAGAUACUUCAAAAACGUUGCUUUACUAGUUUUAGUUUAAGAAAUGUUAUAAAAACCACUUCCUGAAAGAAUGAACUGGUUCCGCAUCUACUCCUUGUGGCAUACUCCAGAAAUAUUCUUAAUUUUUCUUUUUUCAUAGACUUUUUUUUUUCAGUUGAGAUUCCAGUGCAGAGGGUUGCCACGUGUUUCUAUUUAUUUAUUCCUAUGAUCAGUCCCAUAACUGUCAGCUCUUCCUGGCUUUUCAGGAAAAUCCCUAAAAUUUGUUUAUAAAUAUCCUUCUACAUCACCCUCUAAUCUGCUGAAAUCUCUCAGUUCUACUUUCAUUUUGAAAACCAUGAAAAUGGCCACACAUUCAAGCUGGAGCACUUCUGAACAUUUGAUGGGCUUGUUUUUGCAUGACUGUAAUUUUCUUAAUCUUACCUUUGGUAAAAUGGUAUAUGGGUCCUCUGUUCUGAUGCUGCUUUUCUCAUCGCUGCUCAUUAAUUUAAUUUAAUUUUGUUAGAGAGUAUAACUGAUUCUAGCAAGAAGCCAGGUAUUCAAAGUUUAUAAUAUUCAAACUUUGCACUAAAUAACAUGUUGGUCUCUACGUGUAUGUGAUGAUGAGUUCUGGAACUUUUAUUUCACCUUGGUCAGGUAUAACCAAUUCUGAAUUUGAAAAAAAACCCAUCGGUAAUAGACUGUACAGUAAUUUUUGAUGGUGAAACGAUAUACCAGUUUAGUUCCUAAACUCAACAGCCUGAAGUACUGCAUGCCAAACUAACUCUAAAAAAAGUGUUUUCAAACUGCUAGAAAAGAAAAAAAAAACACUACUCUGUUGUUUACAAGAAAAGAAGUUGAUUCACCUCUCACCUAGUUUCUUUUUUGAGUGCUGAUGUCUACAGACUCCAUAUGUGAAAACUUUUAAAAGCCUCAAACAGUAUGUCUGUAUAUAAGGAUGCAAGUCAGCUGCUGCCUUGGGCACAUCGUGCCUAUGGUUGGAAGCGUAGUGUACUAAUGCUUGGAAUGCUGCUGCACCAUCAGCAGCAGGCUUAAGUGCAACAGGCAACAUGGGCUUCUUCCUUUCCUAGUGAUUAGACGGCCGGGCUGAAUGCGUGGCACCUGGCUGACAAUGGAUUAAGCAGCAAGAGAGAGACACACACACACAGAGCGAGCCCUUCAGCGAAGAUACUGCACCGUCUGCAUCCCUGACGCUUUAUCAGCCACCAGCACUCAACUGCUCUGCGCAGCAGCAGCGUUUCCUCCUUACCACUGGAUCUCUGUAAUGGAGGGGAGCAGCAGCCAGAUGGUACAUUACUAGUUAGAUCCUUUCUAGUCUGGUAACUCCCCCCCAUCGCGCACCUCUCACUUGCUAGAGAAGUUGCCUGUUCUCUCUUGAUGUGAAUCACCUCCGAUUAGAGGGGACCGCGGCUCUUUAGUUAGGAAUUGCCAGCUCGCAAAACUUUCUAGGCAGGAAGCUGGCUCCACGCAACUGGGGUGGAGGAGGAGGAGAGAAAAAAAAAAAGUUUCGCUCACUUCUCUCCUUGGCGGAGCCCCUCCCCGCUCCGAGGGGAGAGCUAGAGAUGCUGCUACUUGCAACAGGCUGCUAUAGUAGCAGCGGCAGCCCGAGUAACACGUCCCCAGGAGACUAGCAGGAGCAACACGUGAUGUGUCUACUUAUCAGGGGAGAAGCGGAGGAAGGGAAGUUACUGUGGAGUUGAUGAACUUUGCACAUCCACAGAAACGCCAUUUUGAUUCCAUUUUCCGGAACAACUUUGCGUCUCUUUUCCCCCCCCGCUUCACCAACCCAUCAUCAGCGCAUCAUGUCUCGACGCAAACAGCCCAGCCCCAGCAAAAGCAAGCGCUGCUCUGUACUGGUGCUCCAGCAGUGGUGACAGUGAGGUGACGCUACCAGUAAACUUCUCUGCCGUUGGGGCCUCGCCAGCACCAAUACUUCAGUAGCCAGGGCAGACUUGGUAUUAAAAAAGUACUAGAGGGUGCUAUAGAGGAUCUAGACUCUGCUAAGCCGAAUACACUAAGUGGGGAGAGCAGCAAGCAAGAAGAAAACCUUAUUGUUCAGCAGUCAAAGGAGGAAAAUGAAGGUAACUUAUUUAACUAGAAUUAUGUUCUUCAUUAAUUUAAAA
Molecule: long non-coding RNA, 2232 nt
Organism: Chelonoidis abingdonii (Abingdon island giant tortoise)
Lineage: Eukaryota; Metazoa; Chordata; Testudines; Testudinidae
Source: RefSeq, a predicted model, not a curated record